UACGGGGGGGGCAAGCGUUGUUCGGAAUUACUGGGCGUAAAGGGUUUGUAGGUGGCCCGCUAAGUCACACGUGAAAUCCCUCAGCUUAACUGGGGAACUGCGUGUGAGACUGGCAGGCUCGAGGGCAGGAGAGGAUAGUGGAAUUCCCAGUGUAGUGGUGAAAUACGUAGAGAUUGGGAAGAACACCAGUGGCGAAGGCGGCUAUCUGGACGGUUUCUGACGCUAAGACGCGAAAGCGUGGGGAGCAAACAGG
RNAcentral lists this ribosomal RNA (253 nucleotides) under uncultured bacterium. RNAcentral describes it as "partial 16S ribosomal RNA". It matches the Rfam family "Bacterial small subunit ribosomal RNA", at positions 524 to 776 of the family's 1533-position model. The record is from RNAcentral.